This 503-nucleotide ribosomal RNA is filed under the name uncultured bacterium. RNAcentral's name for it is "partial 16S ribosomal RNA". It matches the Rfam family "Bacterial small subunit ribosomal RNA", at positions 30 to 523 of the family's 1533-position model. The record is from RNAcentral.
AUUGAACGCUGGCGGCAGGCUUAACACAUGCAAGUCGAGCGGGGUGAUGGUGCUUGCACUAUCACUUAGCGGCGGACGGGUGAGUAAUGCUUAGGAAUCUGCCUAUUAGUGGGGGACAACAUCUCGAAAGGGAUGCUAAUACCGCAUACGUCCUACGGGAGAAAGCAGGGGAUCACUUGUGACUUCGCGCUAAUAGAUGAGCCUAAGUCGGAUUAGCUAGUUGGUGGGGUAAAGGCCUACCAAGGCGACGAGCUGUAGCGGGUCUGAGAGGAUGAUCCGCCACACUGGGACUGAGACACGGCCCAGACUCCUACGGGAGGCAGCAGUGGGGAAUAUUGGACAAUGGGGGGAACCCUGAUCCAGCCAUGCCGCGUGUGUGAAGAAGGCCUUAUGGUUGUAAAGCACUUUAAGCGAGGAGGAGGCUCUUUUGGUUAAUACCCAAGAUGAGUGGACGUUACUCGCAGAAUAAGCACCGGCUAACUCUGUGCCAGCCGCCGCAGUAA